ACGGGUGAGUAACGCGUGGGUAACGUACCCUAGGGCUGGGGAUAACUCACCGAAAGGUGAGCUAAUACCGAAUACGUUCUUUCGAAGUGAGCUUUGAAAGAAGAAAGCGGGGCAACCCGCACCCGAAGAUCGGCCCGCGUUCCAUCAGUUUGUUGGUGGGGUAAUGGCCUACCAAGACUACGACGGAUAGCUGGUCUGAGAGGAUGCUCAGCCACACUGGGACUGAGACACGGCCCAGACUCCUACGGGAGGCAGCAGUGGGGAAUAUUGGUCAAUGGGCGAAAGCCUGAACCAGCAAUGCCGCGUGAGUGAUGAAGGCCUUCGGGUUGUAAAGCUCUGUCAGUGGGAACGAAUAAGUCGAUUAAUACCCGAUGAUGACGGUACCCACAAAGGAAGCACCGGCUAACUCUGUGCCAGCAGCCGCGGUAAUACAGAGGGUGCAAGCGUUGUUCGGAAUUACUGGGCGUAAAGCGCGUGUAGGCGGUCUGGCAAGUCGGUCGUGAAAUCCCUUGGCUCAACCAAGGAACUGCGAUCGAAACUACUGGACUAGAGUAUCGGAGGGGGUGGCGGAAUUCCCGG
RNAcentral lists this ribosomal RNA (579 nucleotides) under uncultured Pseudomonadota bacterium. RNAcentral's name for it is "bacterial SSU rRNA". It matches the Rfam family "Bacterial small subunit ribosomal RNA", at positions 102 to 673 of the family's 1533-position model. Lineage: Bacteria; Pseudomonadati; Pseudomonadota. The record is from RNAcentral.